Molecule: ribosomal RNA, 253 nt
Filed under: uncultured bacterium
Lineage: Bacteria
Description: partial 16S ribosomal RNA
Rfam family: Bacterial small subunit ribosomal RNA
Source: RNAcentral
UACGUAGGAUGCGAGCGUUGUCCGGAAUUAUUGGGCGUAAAGAGCUCGUAGGUGGCCUGUCGCGUCGGCUGUGAAAACUCGGGGCUCAACUCCGAGCUUGCAGUCGAUACGGGCAGGCUAGAGUUCGGCAGGGGAGACUGGAAUUCCUGGUGUAGCGGUGAAAUGCGCAGAUAUCAGGAGGAACACCGGUGGCGAAGGCGGGUCUCUGGGCCGAUACUGACACUGAGGAGCGAAAGCGUGGGGAGCGAACAGG